Non-coding RNA from Nicotiana tabacum (common tobacco), 576 nucleotides. Lineage: Eukaryota; Viridiplantae; Streptophyta; Magnoliopsida; Solanales; Solanaceae. The record is from RefSeq and is a predicted model, not a curated record.
ACAUAUAAUGGUUAAAUAAAAUCUUUGCAGGUUGCUUUUAGGACAAAAGUUUUCCAUCCAAAUAUUAAUAGCAAUGGAAGUAUAUGCUUGGACAUAUUGAAGGAGCAAUGGAGCCCUGCCUUGACUAUUUCUAAGGUUUUGCUUUCAAUAUGUUCACUUUUGACGGAUCCAAAUCCUGAUGACCCCUUGGUGCCUGAGAUUGCUCAUAUGUACAAGACGGACAGGGCAAAAUACGAAACAACUGCCCGGAGUUGGACCCAGAAGUAUGCCAUGGGUUAAACCGUUACCUAUGGCACUUGAAUUUAUGUAAAAAGAAAGAAUGCAUCUGUCCUCUACUUUUUAUACAAGAAGUGUAGAAUAGCAUUGAACAAUGCCUGUGGAGGAAUGUUGAUGCUUUGAAUUUGUUUAUAUAGAUACUAAUAUUUGAAGAAAUCUUGGAAGUGUUUAUUUAUAUGGUUUAGGAUUGUAACAAUUGGUUUCAACCAUCUAUUUCAUGUAAAACUUUUCACUAAAUGUCUCUAUAACCUAAGUUCCGCCAAUAUAUUGGUUGAUUGGGACUAAUUUGUCUUCGAGAAA